CUCAUCAUCCUUGGGCUGCUUGGAGAAUAAGCAUGUGAAGGACUGUACUUGGCCGAAGAAGGAUUGUAGCUCGGUGAAGUGGGGCUGUAGUUCGGUGAAGUAGGGCUGUAGCUCGGUGACGUCGGGCUGUAACCAGGCGAUGUAGGGCUGUAUGCAGGCGAUGUAGGGCUGUAUGAGGGCGAGGUAGGGCUGUAUGACGGGGAUGUCGGGCUGUAUGAGGGCGACGUGGGGCUGUAUGAGGGUGAUGUCGGGCUGUAUGAGGGCGAUGUUGGGCUGUACGAGGGAGAAGUGGGGCUGUAUGAUGGCGACGUUGGGCUGUAAGAUGGCGACGUCGGGCUGUAUGCAGGAGAUGUCGGACUGUAUGCUGGCGAGGUCGGACUAUAAACCGGUGAUGUUGGACUAUAGCUCGGAGAUGUGGGGCUGUAGCUUGGUGAUGUUGGGCUGUAGCUCGGAGAUGUGGGGCUGUAGCUAGGAGAUGUGGGGCUGUAGCUCGGGGAUGUUGGCGAGUAUGAUGGACUGGUCGGAGAGUAUGAUGGACUGGUCGGGCUGUAGGAAGGAGAGCCAGGCGUAUAUGAUGGAGAGGUGGGGCUGUAGCUGGGCGAUGCAGGGCUGUAUGAUGGAGAAGUGGGACUGUAACCAUGUCC
This 644-nucleotide long non-coding RNA is filed under the name Triticum aestivum (bread wheat). RNAcentral's name for it is "long non-coding RNA (TAES_LNC014825)". The record is from RNAcentral. Lineage: Eukaryota; Viridiplantae; Streptophyta; Magnoliopsida; Poales; Poaceae.